GUGCCAGCAGCCGCGGUAAUACGUAGGGUGCGAGCGUUAAUCGGAAUUACUGGGCGUAAAGCGUGCGCAGGCGGUUCGACAAGUCCGAUGUGAAAGCCCCGGGCUCAACCUGGGAACUGCAUUGGAAACUGGCGAGCUUGAGUGUGGCAGAGGGGGGUGGAAUUCCGCGUGUAGCAGUGAAAUGCGUAGAGAUGCGGAGGAACACCGAUGGCGAAGGCAGCCCCCUGGGCUAACACUGACGCUCAGGCACGAAAGCGUGGGGAGCAAACAGGAUUAGAUACCCUGGUAGUCCACGCCCUAAACGAUGAUCACUGGGUGUUCGGGGAGCGAUCUCUGAGUACCGUAGCUAACGCGUGAAGUGAUCCGCCUGGGGAGUACGGUCGCGAGAUUAAAACUCAAAGGAAUUGACGGGGACCCGCACAAGCGGUGGAUGAUGUGGAUUAAUUCGAUGCAACGCGAACAACCUUACCUACCCUUGACAUGUCCGGAAGCCCGCUGAAAGGCGGGGGUGCCUGAAAGGGAACCGGAACACAGGUGCUGCAUGCUGUCGUCAGCUCGUGUCGUGAGAUGUUGGGUAAGUCC
RNAcentral lists this ribosomal RNA (582 nucleotides) under uncultured bacterium. Its description in RNAcentral is "bacterial SSU rRNA". It matches the Rfam family "Bacterial small subunit ribosomal RNA", at positions 505 to 1087 of the family's 1533-position model. The record is from RNAcentral.